GACGAACGCUGGCGGCGUGCCUAAUACAUGCAAGUCGAGCGGACGAAUCGAAAGCUUGCUUUUGAUUCGUUAGCGGCGGACGGGUGAGUAACACGUGGGCAACCUGCCCUGUAGACGGGGAUAACACCGAGAAAUCGGUGCUAAUACCGGAUAACACGAAAUGUCGCAUGACGUUUCGUUGAAAGACGGCGCAAGCUGUCGCUACAGGAUGGGCCCGCGGCGCAUUAGCUAGUUGGGGAGGUAACGGCUCACCAAGGCGACGAUGCGUAGCCGACCUGAGAGGGUGAUCGGGCACACUGGGACUGAGCCAAGGCCCAGACCCCUACGGGAGGGCGCAGUAGGGAACCUUACGCAAUGGACGAAAGGCUGACGGAGCCACGCCGAGUGAGCGAAAAAGGCCUUCGGGUCGUAAAGGUCUGUUGUUAGGGAAGAACAAGUAACGCAGGAACGUGCGUUACCGUGACGGUACCUAACGAGAAAGCCACGGCUAACUACGUG
RNAcentral lists this ribosomal RNA (498 nucleotides) under uncultured bacterium. RNAcentral's name for it is "partial 16S ribosomal RNA". It matches the Rfam family "Bacterial small subunit ribosomal RNA", at positions 28 to 507 of the family's 1533-position model. The record is from RNAcentral.